Small nucleolar RNA from Tachyglossus aculeatus (Australian echidna), 138 nucleotides. The record is from RefSeq and is a predicted model, not a curated record. Lineage: Eukaryota; Metazoa; Chordata; Mammalia; Monotremata; Tachyglossidae.
AACCUCUCAGGGUCACACCUGGAGAGUUUCCAGUACUCUACCAGUCUCGGCUACAGGAGGGAGAAUCAAGCAGAGGCCUACCCAUUCUAUUCCCAGCUUGGGCAGUGGCUAGCGAGUGGAAGACAGUCCGCUACAAGU